GGGCGCAUGGUGUAGUUGGUUUAUCACGCCCGCUUAGCAGGUAUUAUUCCGCUCAUGCGGGAGGUCUUGAGUUCAAUUUUCAAUGCUUCCA
Molecule: non-coding RNA, 91 nt
Organism: Mycena galericulata
Lineage: Eukaryota; Fungi; Basidiomycota; Agaricomycetes; Agaricales; Mycenaceae
Source: the annotation of a GenBank genome assembly